AGUUCGUGUCUUGAGAUGUCUGGUUUAUUCCGAUAACGAACGAGACCGGUGUCAGUUUAUUAGAGUUGCAAUUUACGAAUUGCAUCUCUUCUUAACGGGACUUUGCGUUCAAGCGCAAUGAAGUACCGGCAAUAACAGGUCU
RNAcentral lists this ribosomal RNA (142 nucleotides) under uncultured eukaryote. Its description in RNAcentral is "partial small subunit ribosomal RNA". It matches the Rfam family "Eukaryotic small subunit ribosomal RNA", at positions 1296 to 1463 of the family's 1831-position model. The record is from RNAcentral.